This 365-nucleotide ribosomal RNA is filed under the name uncultured Bacteroidales bacterium. RNAcentral describes it as "bacterial SSU rRNA". It matches the Rfam family "Bacterial small subunit ribosomal RNA", at positions 529 to 896 of the family's 1533-position model. Lineage: Bacteria; Pseudomonadati; Bacteroidota; Bacteroidia; Bacteroidales. The record is from RNAcentral.
AGGAUUCAAGCGUUAUCCGGAUUUAUUGGGUUUAAAGGGUGCGUAGGCGGUUCGAUAAGUUAGAGGUGAAAUCCCGGGGCUCAACUCCGGCAUCGCCUCUGAUACUGUCGGGCUAGAGUUUAGUUGCGGUAGGCGGAAUGUAUGGUGUAGCGGUGAAAUGCAUAGAGAUCAUACAGAACACCGAUUGCGAAGGCAGCUUACCAAACUACGACUGACGUUGAGGCACGAAAGCGUGGGGAGCAAACAGGAUUAGAUACCCUGGUAGUCCACGCAGUAAACGAUGAUAACUGGUUGUCGGCGAUAUAAUGUCGGUGACUAAGCGAAAGCGAUAAGUUAUCCACCUGGGGAGUACGUUCGCAAGAAUG